Pan troglodytes (chimpanzee) is the source of this 3019-nucleotide RNA transcript. It is a transcript of the gene named tripartite motif containing 41, with no coding region annotated. The transcript has 8 exons. The record is from RefSeq and is a predicted model, not a curated record. NCBI's taxonomy places the organism in Eukaryota, Metazoa, Chordata, Mammalia, Primates, Hominidae.
AGAAGGGCCGGAAGUACUCCAGGGCGCGCCGCGGACCCACCCCCUCGCUUCCGGCAUCGGCUGUGGGGAGUACCGGCUGCAGUCGGCUGUGCCGGGAGGGUAGGAUGGCGUCUGGCCGAUGCGGUGAUAGCACCGAAAGCAGACGGCCGCCAAGCGCUCCCCCCACCCCCCGAAGUUUCUCCCCAGCGGCGGGGGAUGGGGGUAGGCGGUUCCUCUGUUCUUUCUGCGUUCCCCGCGGCCCCUUACCACAGAGACGCGGGCCUCCACCGUCCUAGCCCUCCCGCCCUGUUCUCUAGUGCGGACUAGAGCGUCUCCUCGCCAUUUCCUGUCGCCCUGGGGCCCCGCCGGGAAAAAGGGGGAGUAGCAGGACAGCGGAGGGAAGUCGCGAGCUUAGGUGGUGUGUAGACGCCGGAAGUGUUGGGAAGGAGGCCGGAAGCUAGGGGCGGGGCCAGGAAGUGAGGAGGGGCGGGGGGUUAUGAGGAGUCCAAGGGAGCAUUGGGGCAGACUUGCACUCAGAGCCACCUGAGGGACUUGGCGGUGGCGCCCAGCACUGUCCCCUCCCCUCGUAGAGACACGGUUGUCGUUUGGGAGUAGGGAACACUGUGUGUUGGGGUGGUUGUCGGGAGGACAUCUCUGGCUGCUCUUGGGGCGAGGUGUGGAGGGGCAGGGCUGGGGGUGGAGCCGGGUCGCCAGGGCGUCGGUAGGGAAGACCCCCGCCCCUCGCCCCCCCACCGAACCUCUACACUGGCUGGCUGGACACUAAGAUGGCUGCCGUUGCCAUGACACCCAACCCUGUGCAGACCCUUCAGGAGGAGGCGGUGUGCGCCAUCUGCCUCGAUUACUUCACGGACCCCGUGUCCAUCGGCUGCGGGCACAACUUCUGCCGAGUUUGUGUAACCCAGUUGUGGGGUGGGGAGGAUGAGGAGGACAGAGAGGAGUUAGAUCGGGAGGAGGAGGAGGAGGACGGAGAGGAGGAGGAAGUGGAGGCUGUGGGGGCUGGCGCGGGGUGGGACACCCCCAUGCGGGAUGAAGACUACGAGGGUGACAUGGAGGAGGAGGUGGAGGAGGAAGAAGAGGGUGUGUUCUGGACCAGUGGCAUGAGCAGGUCCAGCUGGGACAACAUGGACUAUGUGUGGGAGGAGGAGGACGAGGAGGAAGAGCUGGACUACUACUUGGGGGACAUGGAGGAGGAGGACCUGAGGGGGGAGGACGAGGAGGACGAGGAGGAAGUGCUGGAGGAGGUUGAGGAAGAGGAUCUAGACCCCGUGACCCCACUGCCCCCGCCUCCAGCCCCUCGGAGGUGCUUCACAUGCCCUCAGUGCCGAAAGAGCUUUCCUCGGCGGAGCUUCCGCCCCAACCUGCAGCUGGCCAAUAUGGUCCAGGUGAUUCGGCAGAUGCACCCAACCCCUGGUCGAGGGAGCCGCGUGACCGAUCAGGGCAUCUGUCCCAAACACCAAGAAGCCCUGAAGCUCUUCUGCGAGGUAGACGAAGAGGCCAUCUGUGUGGUGUGCCGAGAAUCCAGGAGCCACAAACAGCACAGCGUGGUGCCAUUGGAGGAGGUGGUGCAGGAGUACAAGGCCAAACUGCAGGGGCACGUGGAACCACUGAGGAAGCACCUGGAGGCUGUGCAGAAGAUGAAAGCCAAGGAGGAGAGGCGAGUGACAGAACUGAAGAGCCAGAUGAAGUCAGAGCUGGCAGCGGUGGCCUCGGAGUUUGGGCGACUGACACGGUUUCUGGCUGAAGAGCAGGCAGGGCUGGAACGGCGUCUCAGAGAGAUGCAUGAAGCCCAGCUGGGGCGUGCGGGAGCCGCGGCUAGUCGCCUUGCAGAACAGGCCGCCCAGCUCAGCCGCCUGCUGGCUGAGGCCCAGGAGCGGAGCCAGCAGGGGGGUCUCCGGCUGCUCCAGGACAUCAAGGAGACUUUCAAUAGGUGUGAAGAGGUACAGCUGCAGCCCCCAGAGGUCUGGUCCCCUGACCCGUGCCAACCCCAUAGCCAUGACUUCCUGACAGAUGCCAUCGUGAGGAAAAUGAGCCGGAUGUUCUGUCAGGCUGCGAGAGUGGACCUGACGCUGGACCCUGACACGGCUCACCCGGCCCUGAUGCUGUCCCCUGACCGCCGGGGGGUCCGCCUGGCAGAGCGGCGGCAGGAGGUUGCUGACCAUCCCAAGCGCUUCUCGGCCGACUGCUGCGUACUGGGGGCCCAGGGCUUCCGCUCCGGCCGGCACUACUGGGAGGUAGAGGUGGGCGGGCGGCGGGGCUGGGCGGUGGGUGCUGCCCGUGAAUCAACCCAUCAUAAGGAAAAGGUGGGCCCUGGGGGUUCCUCCGUGGGCAGCGGGGAUGCCAGCUCCUCGCGCCAUCACCAUCGCCGCCGCCGGCUCCACCUGCCCCAGCAGCCCCUGCUCCAGCGGGAAGUGUGGUGCGUGGGCACCAACGGCAAACGCUAUCAGGCCCAGAGCUCCACAGAACAGACGCUGCUGAGCCCCAGUGAGAAACCAAGGCGCUUUGGAGCCUAAAGAACCCUCCUGGCCUCCAGCUCAGCCUUCUCUCACCUACUAUGUCUGUCCAACAGACCGGCCAGAAUUUAGCUUCACUUGAGAGAGAUCUGGAAUGGUCGCCAUGAUUGAAACCACGCACCAUUACAUCAUCAUUACAUUAAUUACAUCAACAUAAAUUAUUUCUUCCCCCUUCCCUUUUCCAGCACUCAACCAAGGAGCAAAGCUCAUCCCACCCCACACCCCUCCCAGGUCUGCUCACUGCCAGGCUCCUCUCCCCUUUGUUCAGUGGAGCUGGCUUUUCUCCCAGCCCCUUUCCAUGCCUUUCAUUCCAUUUGGCAAGCCCUGAGGGGGAGCCUGGGGACGGGUUUGGGUCCCCAAGAGGAGCGCCUUGGGUAUAAUCUAUUUUUCUAGGAGCCCCUUGCCUUGUCACUUGCAGCUUUCGCCCUCUGCUUUGAUGGCUGAGGUGAACUCAUGUUCUUUGGGAAAAGGGAAGGCGUGCUGUGGAAAUAAAAUGUUUAUUUGCUUCU